Non-coding RNA from Malus domestica (apple), 3956 nucleotides. The record is from RefSeq and is a predicted model, not a curated record. Lineage: Eukaryota; Viridiplantae; Streptophyta; Magnoliopsida; Rosales; Rosaceae.
AGAGCCCACAAACUUUUUUCUUUUAAAAAUAAGAUAAGAAGGACAAUGGCAUUGGUACGUUGCAAGUAGGGUACGUGGAGCGAGCCUAGACAACCGUUGGCUUUCUGUCUUUCACAAGAAUCAAUCAUCUAUGUUCGCCAUGUGAGCUUCAUAUCACAGACUCUCAGUGGACACUUCAUCACUCUCUCUCUCUCUCUCUCUCUCUCUCAUCAAAGCCAUGGCAAGCACCAGCUCUCCCGCCCUGUCCUUGUCAAAACUGGAUUUUCCACUAUUUUCCUCUCAAAGAAAAAUGCAAAAUCUCCAUCAAGUUAAGAUUCCUCGCAGGUUGUCGAAGUUUUCUGGGGCUAAAUCAAACGGGUUUGUCCUUUUUUCUUCACUGAAUGGUCAAACUGGUGAGACCAGCCCUCCUAGUGUUGAAGCAACCACUUCAGUAAACAAUGUGUCUGACGUCCAAGUUCAAAGCAGUAUAUGGAACUGGAGGGGUUAUUCUAUCCGAUAUCAGCAUGCUGGCAACAGUGGCCCGGCAUUAGUUUUGAUUCAUGGUUUUGGAGCAAACAGUGAUCAUUGGAGGAAAAAUCUUCCAGUUCUUUCAAAAUCACACAGGGUAUACUCUAUCGAUCUUAUUGGUUAUGGGUACUCAGACAAACCAAAUCCUCGUCAAUUCGGGGAAACUUUGUUUUAUACAUUUGAGACAUGGGCCACCCAGCUAAAUGAUUUUUGUACUGACGUUGUCAAGGGUGAAGCAUUCUUUAUAUGCAACUCUAUCGGAGGACUUGUCGGUCUUCAGGCAGCAGUUAUGGAGCCACAGUUAUGCAAGGGCAUAAUGCUUUUGAAUAUUUCUCUUCGUAUGCUGCAUAUUACAAAGCAGCCUUGGUGCGGGAGACCAUUGAUCAAAUCCUUUCAGAACUUGCUGAGGGUUUGGUGCAGUGAAUUAGUGGAGCAUUCAAACAAAAAUACAAACAGAAAUACUACAUUACUAAGGUAUUUCCCUCAUUUCAUUACCGAGUCUCGACGACUGUCUCACGAAAUUCAGCACCGCCGGUACGCCGCCGUGGUUGCUCUUCAGAGCACCAAAACGUCCAGACCCAAAGCCCGCCCCUUCUCUCUGACGCUCUCACCGGUUAUGCGAGGCAAGGAAGCCAAGGGCCAGCCGAAGGGCACUCAAGGACAAAAACCCAUCUGGAAAUGCAGCCAAUAUCCUCGUAGGAAAGGUCUUGGAUGCCGCUCCGAGCCCGAUCCAAACACCAUGGGACUCCAACCCAGAGAAGGAGAACCACGCGAGCCUCUCUCAGACUCGCACCUCCCCCAAGAAGUCAGCCAAAGCUGCGGCUUCUAAGAGACAGGCCAAGCAGAAGAAGACCCAACUGUCGUCAUUCGAGAAAGAACUCGAAGAAAUGCAAGAGAAGCUGCAAGCGAUGAAGCUCGAGAAGGAGAAACCCUUUGAGCUCUUGAAGGAGAAGAAUGAGAUCUUGAAGACCAAGGAGGAAGAUCUAGCAAUGAAGGGCCGAGAGCAAGACAAGCUUCAGAUGGAGUUGAAGAAGCUGCAGAAGCUCAAGGAGUUCAAACCCACCGUGAUGGAAAUGGAAAUGGAUAUGGAUAUGGUGAGGAGCAAUCAGAGGAGAUUGGGGCACUGCUGCAUGAACAAUGCAAGGCUGAUGGAGCUCCCCAUCGAAAUCCUUGACAACAUCUAUUUGAGGCUACCCGUAAGCUGUCUUUUUACCCUCAGAUGUGUCUCUAAGACAUCAAAGAACAUAGUCGACUGCCCUUGCUUUGUUACACAGCACAUGCGACAUUUACUUUCGGCACAAUCUACUUUUGCUUCCGAUCAGUUUAUGCUUCUUCAUCACCUUUUCUACGACUCUCUUUGUGGAUUUGCCUUUACACCACUGAAAUAUGAUGGCGUCAGCGCUGCCUUGAAGAGAAGCGAAGACUAUGCAAUCGUUUCUGAUAUUGUGUCCACAAAGAUUGGUGUUUCUUAUUCUUUGAGUUUUGUUUUCUACAACUUGUUUUUCUUUCGAGAUCAUGGCUAUAGUCGUCAACCGUACAAGAAGAAAGAAAGAAGUCCAUGCUUCUUAUUCAAUCCUUUAAAGGGAGAAGUUCUUCCACUCCCAACCACUGACAUCCAAUUUCCAUAUAGUUUUUAUGGAUCGUGCAAGGAAUGGUAUGGUAUGGGAUUUGAUGAUAUAACCAGCACUUACAAGAUUCUGUGUGUUUCUGGAGAUGAAGAUUCGACGAGAUAUCAACUUAGGGCCCAAAUUUAUGUACUAGGUACCGGCUCGUGGCGAGAGAUACCCUCAGUCCCUCCUCGUAAUUUGAGCAACAACCAUGCAUUUGCACAUGGAGAUCAGCAUUGGUUGCUUUAUUUACCUGAUCACUCAAGUUAUGAUAAUAGAAGAGUACUCGGUAUAUGUUCUUUUGACUAUAAGAAAGAGGAGUUUUACUCGACUAUUCCUCUUCCCGAGCACAUGCAACGUAAGUAUAUUCCGCACUAUAUGGUCCUUUUGUCUCUACACUUGCUUAAUCUUAAAGGAUCUUUGGCCGUCGUGGACACUUUAUCAGAUGACUAUAUUGAGGUAUGGGUGUUAAAGAACUAUGAUACAAAAGAAUGGAGGCUAGAUUACAAGAUAGAAAACGCAAUUGUCAGAGGCGAGCUUAUUAACGUGACAUGUUGUGAAUGGAAGUAUGGCAUAUUCUUCACUAAAUCACAAGGGAUGUCAGAAAGUAGAAGGAUUACAAUCUUUGUGGAUUUUAGAUGUGGCUCCAUUAGUCAUGUAAAGUUAUUUCCACCCAAGCGCAUCUGGAAUACAAGCAUCUUGAGCUAUAAUGGGACCUUAAUGUCCCUAAAAAAUUAUGGGAAAUUGGUGAGACCUGACCCUACUACUGGAAGCAUCAGUGUCUAGUAACGGGAAAUUUGCUGGCAUUGUUUGAUGCAGCUGCAACUGCAAGUGUAACUGUUUGUGAAAAGUUGCGAGUGGCAGGUGGGUUGGAGACUUUCAAGUUUCCAGUUCAUUUUUUUAGAUGAAUUAUGGUGCUGAGGUGUAGUGGGAGGCACUGAGUCUGAGGGGGAAGGUGCUUAAUCGGUUAAGUCGGCUGUUGCUUUUGCACUGCUGCUCCGAGGCCAUGGCUAUUUGUAGGUUUGGGCAAUCCCGGCGAUAAGUACGAAGGAACUAGGCACAAUGCGGGGUUUUAGAUGAUUGAUGUGUUUGCGGGUUCGCAGGGCAUUGCAAUGAACACGGUCCAAUGCAAAGCUAUACUUGGGCAAGGCAUGUAAAUCCUUGCGUAUGUUACUUUGUUUGUUGUCAUUUUUCAUGUUUGUUUGUGAAGUUCAGGGAAGUUUGUUAUUUCAGGUUUCGUGGGUGAAGUUCUGGUUUUUCUUGCAAAGCCUCAAACUUAAAUGAAUUUGAGAGAUGAAUCUACAGGACCCCUUGCUGCUUAUUAUAAGCUAUCUCUCAAUUCAAGGUUGGUCCCAUUCAAGAUUUUGUUCAAUUGAAUAGUCCCUGAAGCAACAAGAAGGAACUGACUGCUGGGGUUUCUUUAGCAAGAAAGUGCAGAAAAAAUGGGUGCCCUAUAAAUUUAGUAAAAAUGCUAGAGAAAAAAAGGCAAUCGCAAUUGGCAGCUUACACCACGUUCGUAACUCAACGGAAAAACAGCCAGAAGUCUAUAGUUGAUCCGAAAGAGUGGCAGGUUUGACAAUGGUCGCACUGAAUGCAUUUUUGCUCACUGUUUGAAUCUGAAAAUCUGUUAAUUUUCCAUUCAGGUUGAACCAAAAAGUCUCCUGGAUGCACAUUUUCUUAAUAGCAAUGUCUUUUGAGUAAUGUUGAAGCAGGACAUUGUAUCUUUGAGAAAGUUUAUGGUGUAUAGUUUCUGCAUUAAUUUAUUUUGGGAAUAGUAUAUGUAUUCAUAUAUGGAGUUUCGUGAUACAUGCACCGGAAAUUAUACAGUAUGCCAUUAGCUUC